RNAcentral lists this ribosomal RNA (638 nucleotides) under uncultured beta proteobacterium. RNAcentral's name for it is "bacterial SSU rRNA". It matches the Rfam family "Bacterial small subunit ribosomal RNA", at positions 72 to 705 of the family's 1533-position model. The record is from RNAcentral. Lineage: Bacteria; Pseudomonadati; Pseudomonadota; Betaproteobacteria.
CAGGUCUUCGGAUGCUGACGAGUGGCGAACGGGUGAGUAAUACAUCGGAACGUGCCCGAGAGUGGGGGGUAACGAAGCGAAAGCUUUGCUAAUACCGCAUACGAUCUCAGGAUGAAAGCAGGGGACCGCAAGGCCUUGCGCUCACGGAGCGGCCGAUGGCAGAUUAGGUAGUUGGUGGGAUAAAAGCUUACCAAGCCGACGAUCUGUAGCUGGUCUGAGAGGACGACCAGCCACACUGGGACUGAGACACGGCCCAGACUCCUACGGGAGGCAGCAGUGGGGAAUUUUGGACAAUGGGCGCAAGCCUGAUCCAGCCAUGCCGCGUGCAGGAUGAAGGCCCUUCGGGUUGUAAACUGCUUUUGUACGGAACGAAAAGACUCUGGUUAAUACCUGGGGUCCAUGACGGUACCCGUAAGAAUAAGCACCGGCUAACUACGUGCCAGCAGCCGCGGUAAAUACGUAGGGUGCGAGCGUUAAUCGGAAUUACUGGGCGUAAAGCGUGCGCAGGCGGUUAUGUAAGACAGAUGUGAAAUCCCCGGGCUCAACCUGGGAACUGCAUUUGUGACUGCAUAGCUAGAGUACGGCAGAGGGGGAUGGAAUUCCGCGUGUAGCAGUGAAAUGCGUAGAUAUGCGGAGGA